AGUGAACGCUGGCGGUAGGCCUAACACAUGCAAGUCGAACGGCAGCACAGUAAGAGCUUGCUCCUACGGGUGGCGAGUGGCGGACGGGUGAGGAAUACAUCGGAAUCUACUUUUUCGUGGGGGAUAACGUAGGGAAACUUACGCUAAUACCGCAUACGACCUACGGGUGAAAGCAGGGGAUCUUCGGACCUUGCGCGAUUGAAUGAGCCGAUGUCGGAUUAGCUAGUUGGCGGGGUAAAGGCCCACCAAGGCGACGAUCCGUAGCUGGUCUGAGAGGAUGAUCAGCCACACUGGAACUGAGACACGGUCCAGACUCCUACGGGAGGCAGCAGUGGGGAAUAUUGGACAAUGGGCGAAAGCCUGAUCCAGCCAUACCGCGUGGGUGAAGAAGGCCUUCGGGUUGUAAAGCCCUUUUGUUGGGAAAGAAAAGCAGCAGGUUAAUACCCCGCUGUUCUGACGGUACCCAAAGAAUAAGCACCGGCUAACUUCGUG
Molecule: ribosomal RNA, 492 nt
Filed under: uncultured bacterium
Lineage: Bacteria
Description: partial 16S ribosomal RNA
Rfam family: Bacterial small subunit ribosomal RNA
Source: RNAcentral